UACGUAGGGGGCAAGCGUUGUCCGGAAUCAUUGGGCGUAAAGAGCGUGUAGGCGGUCCGGUUAGGCGGCUGUGAAAGUCCAGGGCUCAACCCUUGAAUGCCGGUCGAUACUGCCGGACUAGAGUCCGGAAGAGGCAAGUGGAAUUCCCGGUGUAGCGGUGAAAUGCGCAGAUAUCGGGAGGAACACCAAUGGCGAAGGCAGCUUGCUGGGCCGGUACUGACGCUGAGACGCGAAAGCGUGGGGAGCAAACAGG
This 253-nucleotide ribosomal RNA is filed under the name uncultured bacterium. RNAcentral's name for it is "partial 16S ribosomal RNA". It matches the Rfam family "Bacterial small subunit ribosomal RNA", at positions 524 to 776 of the family's 1533-position model. The record is from RNAcentral.